This 982-nucleotide long non-coding RNA is filed under the name Equus caballus (horse). RNAcentral's name for it is "lncRNA (ENSECAG00000055425.1)". Lineage: Eukaryota; Metazoa; Chordata; Mammalia; Perissodactyla; Equidae. The record is from RNAcentral.
CAGACUUAAGCAGCACGAUGUGGCAGAACAAUCCCCAUUGCUGAAGGAAUGUCCAGUUCUUGCCCUUUUAAAGCUGCUGCCUCUGUGACACGUCAAAUUAGGAUCACUCCUGGGGACCUAGGGGCAGAGCCACGCCCCAUGAAAGGGCUCUCCCGGGCAACCUGCCUCUUCUGCUCUCUUCUCUGAAGCAGUGAUUUGGGGGCGGGGAGAGGGGCGUGGCCGGCAGGUGUUAGAUGGAGCCCUCCUCAGGGGGCCAGGCUGGAAGCAGGAAGAAUAGCAGCUAACAGUUGUUGUGACUUAGGACUAUCUCGUCCUCACAACAAGCCUGCGAUGAAGAGACUCUUCCUAUUAUUCCCACUUUUCAGGAAAAUAUCUGUGAAAGGUACAGGCCAUCAUGGUGCGGCUGUCAAGACCAAAGGGGAGGCUCCACCCUGGGCCCAGUGCACUGUCAACUUUUCCUGCACAGACGGAAUCUUUUUUUCCUAGCAACUUUACUUUCUUUUAGUGUUACAAAGUGCCAUGAAGCCUGUGAUGGGUAACCUGCCAGAUUUCACCUGGUCCUCUGAAUAAAACCUGAUACCUGAUGUCACUUUUCUUGUCAUUUCUUCUCCUAAAAAGUUUUAUGCAGCCAACUAUCAGGUGAUGAGGGAAGAGUACAGACACCUGCAGAGGCCAACAUGGGCACACAGUUCUAAGAUGUUAAAAACAAAACAUUCCAAAUACAAAAAUUAUCAGAAGAAAUAAAGCUCUCUUACAGUAUAAGUCAGAGAGACAUGACAAAUACCCUCAGAGUAACCUGAGCUCUUGCCUAGCAUUAGCACUUUUUAAAGCCCAACUGCCAUCUUGAUUUGUGGUAUUCCCACGCAAGGCCAUGCAAUCCAGUGCCCAGAAAUGUUGAGUGCUGGGUUCUUUUCUUGGCUGCCUCUGAGUGACCUUGAGCAAAUCAACUCAACAUCCCAGUUACAGGAAAUAGACAAUCCCA